This 88-nucleotide transfer RNA is filed under the name Candidatus Dormiibacterota bacterium. RNAcentral's name for it is "tRNA-Ser". It matches the Rfam family "tRNA". Rfam says of the family: Transfer RNA (tRNA) molecules are approximately 80 nucleotides in length. Lineage: Bacteria; Bacillati; Candidatus Dormiibacterota. The record is from RNAcentral. RNAcentral also lists the same sequence under 1 other name.
GGAGAGGUGUCCGAGUGGUUUAAGGUGCAGCUCUCGAAAAGCUGUGUGGCGAAAGCCACCGUGGGUUCGAAUCCCACCCUCUCCGCCA